GUUGAGUUUGAUCCUUUAACACUAUUAUGGUAUCAUAGCCUUGACUUACAUCAUUCAUGGUUGAUUCUGAAAAUUCUUCCGCCGCUAACAUAAACUCUAAUACCCACCGUCCAUUGCCACGUUAAAUAUUUUUUAUUUUAAAAGCUUAAACGAAUAAGAAAUAAUAAAUUUAAUAACAUCAACAAUUCUCAUGGAACGAGCACAUUACUCCAUUGGACAACAAUUUCUAAGUAGCAAAUACAAUUGCAAAGACUUUAUUAUUCAAGAGAUCUUGGAUUAAAUUACAAUGAUCCAGAACAUAAUAAUUUAUUUCACCUACUAAUUCAUACUCUGCAAGUAAUUCAAAUUUCCUCCUAAACAAACAAUUAUUUCAACCAAGGUGUCUUUAGAAACAUUUUAUGCUCUGUUUUUGGGUCGUCCGGACAGUAAUGUAUGGAAAGCUAGCUUGAUGACUGGUAUGCGCCAUUGACGAGUUAAUUAUUAUCCCCGGGGCUUGGACCUGAAAGAUCCCUUCUGGGUAAGAUUCGAUCAGAAUUCUUAGUUCCCCAAAGGCCAGGAACUUGGGUAAUAUAGUAACCCGUCACUCCAUGGCUUCCAGUGGGCUUCAUUAUGGCAUGGUGGUGACGAGUUUGAGCAUGCAAACAGCGGGCUUGUAUGGUAGAAGAUAGCAAAAAGAAGCUCACGAAAAUAACAAGGACAAGGAAAUGGCGAGCUUGGAGUUCUCUAGCCAUUGAGUAAUAUUGUAGAAGAUGCAGAGCCUCAACAAGGUUUUGUCUUUAGUUUGUA
RNAcentral lists this long non-coding RNA (786 nucleotides) under Betula platyphylla (Asian white birch). RNAcentral describes it as "RNA3808.1". Lineage: Eukaryota; Viridiplantae; Streptophyta; Magnoliopsida; Fagales; Betulaceae. The record is from RNAcentral.